GGCUGAAAGCCGGGUGUGGGAAGCUUGGCGGCCCCGCCCAGUCUCCUGGACCAGCAGAGGACACGGGCUCUGCUGCAGCCGCAGGGAUUGGAGAUCACAACAGAGUGGUGUGGUGUGGGCCUGAAGAUCCGCCUUGUUGGAAUUAACAUUUUCACUGGUAGAAAACAUGAAGAUAUCUGUCCCUCUACUCACAACAUGGAUGUUCCAAAUAUUAAGAGAAAUGAUUAUCAAGGUGCAGUUCCCUCCUUUUUGAGGUUUCCAUUCAUUAUCCUUUGAAGGACUAGAUUUGUGGAAAGGUACUGUGUAAAUUUGUUUUUGUCAUGGAAUACCUUGGUUUCUCCAUCUAUGGUAAAGUUUUUCUGGGUAUAGC
This is a long non-coding RNA of Apodemus sylvaticus (European woodmouse), 370 nucleotides long. RefSeq lists it as uncharacterized. The record is from RefSeq and is a predicted model, not a curated record. Lineage: Eukaryota; Metazoa; Chordata; Mammalia; Rodentia; Muridae. The transcript has 3 exons.